Molecule: long non-coding RNA, 754 nt
Organism: Felis catus (domestic cat)
Lineage: Eukaryota; Metazoa; Chordata; Mammalia; Carnivora; Felidae
Exons: 2
Source: RefSeq, a predicted model, not a curated record
CAGAUUAUAAACGUCUUGUGGGGAGAGACCGUUUCUCUCUCUUCUGUAUCUCAUGGUUCAAUCUUAAGCAUAGUUGUGUGUUUUCUUACUUGUUGGAAAGAGGGUGAUGUGCUGGAGCCCAGAGAGCACAUGGAGCCUCAUAACAUUUCCCUGAAACAUUCCAGGCAGUAAAAGCGUAAAGGUAAAUGAUAGUUCCGAACACAGAAGAAUCCCGUAUUUGGCUGGACAGGCCAGGGUCCUCUGGAAGUUUCUGAGAUGGUAAUAAGAAAUAUUUAUAGCUAUAGGCAACACCUUUUUCCACAAACAGUAUUUCAAAGAAACUAUACGUAUUCCAGGUUCUCACCAGAUCCGUGUUAAAUUAGAGCACUGCUGAGGAAUUUAGGCGAUUUAAAAUUUUAUUCUUUCUUGUUGCUGCUUUUGUUGUUUUUUUAGUAAGUUCUGCUUCAUUACUGUGUCCUGAACCAAACUUAUCUGGGAUAAUGGUCAUAUUCAAGUGGUACGGAAGUUGGCCUGGGAAUAUUUAGUGCCAUUUUUCAGGCUCUCUUCAAAGAGGAAAAGGAAGAGAGGACCGAGCCACAUCGUGGUAUUGGAAAAAUAUCUUCAUCUCUUUUUCAAACAUUUUGAGCAAGGAUGCCAGCUCAGUGUGUGGCCUGUGCCUGGAGACAAAGGAUGGGAACCCUGCUCAAAAUGAACAUAGAUGAGCUUUCAGACCCAUAAUGAGCACAGUGAUAACAAUAAAAGUGGCCUGCGCGUC